Molecule: long non-coding RNA, 3769 nt
Organism: Passer domesticus (house sparrow)
Lineage: Eukaryota; Metazoa; Chordata; Aves; Passeriformes; Passeridae
Exons: 2
Source: RefSeq, a predicted model, not a curated record
GCGCCGAGGGCCGGGCUGCGGGCGGGGCGGGGGCCGAGCUCGGGGCGGUGCGGCCGGGGCUGCCCGGAGCCGGCCCCGCUGGAAGGCACGGCCCCGGGAAGGGACCGUGUGCGACCCGGGAGCUCCGCUGCCCCGGGGUAUGGCUCACCCUCCUGCCAGCACCCCCCUCUUUUGCGGGGGAUGCCUCAUGUUGGUUUCCUUUUCCCUUAGACAGUCACUUAAGGAGGUUGUGACAACGAUAUUCAAACAACACGUAUUCAGACGCAAAUUCAAAGAUUCAUUAUUUCAUCAAAGCUUGAGAGGUUGUGGUUUUUCUUUUUUUUUUUUUCUUUUUUUUUAUUUUUUUUUCCUGUGACUGAAUUAAAGAAUUUUAUUAUUUUUGUUCUAAUGAAAAGGGAAACCGUCAGCAGGAAUUUUUCAUUUAAGCAUAAAUGAAUUUAGAAUGGUCGAAAAACAUGCUUAAAUGAGACUUCCACAAUGAAAAGCAAGUGCAGAUGGUCCGGGGACUUAAGGACUCGUUUCUAUGGUGUCUGGCAAUUUUUCAAGCACCCAGGGUGCGAUUCUACCUGUUAAUUAGAUCCACUGAGUAUUCGAGACACAUGAGGCUUUCACAUCCCUGCUUAAUGUCACAGGCUCAUCGUUUGCAGAAGCAGCAGAGGUCCUAGUGCCACUCUUCAAACCAGUACCGCACUAAGUGCAAAUGGAUACUAAACCCGGCCAUAUAUACCUUUAACUCUUCUCAGGAGUGGGCGACAUGAAAGGUAGGGCUGGAUGGGCAGAGAGGCUUAGCCUGAUGAACAAGAUGGCUUAUGUGUGCUUGAGACUGAGAGGAAGGAGAGAGUGCGGCUGAAGCAAAAAAUGGUGGUCUCCUCAAGAUAAAUAGCUUUUAGAUCUACAGUAGAAACGAGUAUUUACAAACAGAGAGAUGCUCUGUAACGGAGAAAACACUAAUAUACUGCCCUUAAAAACAAAUAAAUCAAAACAUACAAUUUUAAAGUGGGGUGUCCAUUGUCUUUCUGUUUACAAGUGCCAUCUUCUGAUAAUGGUUCAGAAAUUUAAAAGACUUUUUCAAAUAGCCAUUAAUAGCCGUUUAAAGGAUUAUUUAUCUUUUAUCCCUCCUUUAAUCAUUUUUGCGUCUUUACACAGUCUGUAACUACUAAGGUUUAAUUGGAGUUUUGGUCGAGUAAAGGCUGCAGAAUCUGACCCAGAGAAUCAAAAGCUGUCUUCAUUCACCCAGACAACAUCAGAAAAGCCAUUUGAACCAAUUCAGAUGUAAAGUGAUGCAACUACAGAGAUUUGCAAGACAAUGGCGGGGACAUUGCCAGGAAAAGUCAUUAGUAGAAGCACACUAGUUGUCAUGCCGAAUCUGAUUUUUCUCUUCUUCACAAACAUUCACAUUUAUGACAGUAACUGAGGACUACUCCAGUUAAGGCACUGUGUUUUACUGGAAAAAAGGAAGCAUUUAAUACAGCAUUGAGCCUUGCAGUUCCUUUCAGGCAAAACAUUAUUUGGAUUGUAUGAAAAUACAAAAUAAGCAUGUUGUGUUGCUACCCUUUGCUGGAUAAGGUAUAUCACAGAUGAAAGACAGUAGGUAGAGUCAAAGAGUACAUUUUAGAAACGUUGAGCUGACAGAAGAGUCUAAAAAGUCACAUGAUGUGAUACAUAUGCUGCUGCUGCAUGAGGACUCUCCCAAACAAGCACUGUUCAAGGAAGAACAGCAAAGGAGAGUCAAAACCCAGCUUAAGUUUUUAUAUAUGUUUCAUAAAAUAAGUCUUUGUUCAACAUAUUUCAUGUGAUUUCUGUAAAGAAAAUGGCAAACCAACUCACCAGCUUGAAUCCAAAUAAAUUCAAUUUUUUUAAUAAUGGCAGGUUUUUUUCCUCUAAUCUUUAAACUAGUUUGGGAAAACUUCCCAAGAAAGCUCAUGUUUUCAAUCCUCUUUAUUUUCCACCCUAUUUACCUAACAAAUUUACCUAACAAGUUUGUAACUAUGACUAGGGAAAAUAUUUUAUCAUUGUUUAUAAAUCAAAUAUUUGAUCAAUACACAUACUUCAUCCAAUGAAAAUGAUGUUCUCUAGAAUAUGAUCUGUAUUCAUGUGAAAUUGUCAAAUCGGAGGUUUUUCUUUUUCAGAAAAGAACAUGGGUUACAUUUUCCAUAGGUUUUUGUUUACAGUUAGAAUAAACCAAUUUAUAAUAUUUUGAAUUUAUUUUAUUGUAGUGGUGCAAAAUGCUUUCACACACAGCCUCCCCCUCCCUAUGAUUCCCUAGAAAACUAACAAAAUAAUCCAAUGUUCCUAUUCAGUAGAUAGGAAGUAGUAGAUAUUUCUUCCAUGAAAUGAUGAUCAGUGGCACUUUGGAGGGAAAAAACUAUUAAGCAGCAGUCCUGAAUUAAUUUGCUAUGGAAGCCAUUGAAUACUUUCUAUACUUUUGUAUUUUUCAAUGCAAAUCUGUUUAAAUAGUGUUUUGUAAUUAUAAGUGACCAAGACUUACUGUUCUUCAAUUAUUUUGAAUUUUAAUGAAAUUGUGUUAACAAUUCACUGAUACAGCAUAUAUUUACACAUCUUAAAACUCCAGCAUUUUCUUGUUUAAAUAAGUGUUUAAAAAUUGGUUUUAAAUAUACAGAGUUACUUUUCCAUCUUUUUUAAAGGACAAAUGUAGUUAAGGUACUUCAUUUGCUUCAGAAAAGACUCAUUCAAUAUCUGUAAGUUUCAUUUUCUCAAAGUGACUUUGCUUAUUCAGAGAAUAAUCGAUAAUCGUGGAAUUUAUCAAAUAUAUUGAAAAGUAACAUAAAUAAAAAUACAGGAGGCUCAGAUGAGGAAUUGAUUCCACCACGUACACAUCUAAAAGGGCCUUUAGUUUUAUAAAUUCUUUGCAGCAAUUUUGAUUCCCAGUCACUGGGGUGAAGGGAUGCCUCUAAGGAGGACGCCCGACGUGCAGAUCUCCUGUAUGUAACUGGAUAUGGCAUCCAUCUGUCUGGCACUCAGCACUUGAAGUGCUCUGUGCUCAGCUCACUUUUUGAGCUGACUCUGCUUCCAGCUGUGUAACAAUAUCUGUAACACACUGCAGAAUGCUCAUGUAAUGUGAAUUUCCUGACAAAGGUAGAUGGAAAUAGUGCUGCUGCACAGAUGCAGAGAUUAGAGAUCUAUAAAUACGCUUAUUUUUCUUUUGCUUAAAAGAGAAAAAUGAUCCAGUUGACUUGGAACCCAAACAGGUUAAAUCCCCUUGCAACCUCAUUCCAUUCUAAGCACUUCUCCUGUGCUGUCAAAGUAAUUUUCUUUCUCUUCUCCCAUCCCAAAUGUCUCACAUUCAAAUAUGAUUUUGCUAUUAUUACUGCUUAUAUUACAGGAGGAUUAAGUCACAGUUCAUGACCUUUGAGGCCAGUGUCAGCAAAACACUGAAGAUGAAUGUUAGAUUCUGAUUUUUGGGACUGCAUCUACUCAGUCUAGAAAUAGAUAAGUAAAGCAUAAUUUUUUUUUUCAGGACUGCUUCUGGUGACUUAUGAGAACCAGAAUAUAUUGGGGUUUUUCCCCUCUCCUUGACAUAAUACUACUGUAUUUAUUGUCUUCUUCUGUAGAUGUUUAUUUUCUUCCAGAUAUAGUUGCACAGUUGCUGAUUCUGAAUCAGAAAGGAAUUUUUUGCAAGGCUAGGGGCUGCUGAAGACAUGUCAUGACAUUUUAAUUCCAACCUAAUGCAAGAGCCAGGAAUUAAGGCAGUGUCAAUGGUUUUGCCUGCUUUAUCUCUGUGACAUAACUCACUUUUCCCAGAGUUUAC